RNAcentral lists this ribosomal RNA (402 nucleotides) under Actinomycetes bacterium. RNAcentral describes it as "Actinobacteria bacterium partial 16S ribosomal RNA". It matches the Rfam family "Bacterial small subunit ribosomal RNA", at positions 355 to 776 of the family's 1533-position model. The record is from RNAcentral. Lineage: Bacteria; Bacillati; Actinomycetota; Actinomycetes.
UGGGGAAUUUUGCACAAUGGGGGCAACCCUGAUGCAGCGACGCCGCGUGAUUUAGAAGGCCUUCGGGUUGUAAAAAUCUUUUGUAUAGGAAGAAAAUGACAGUACUAUACGAAUAAGGUCCGGCUAAUUACGUGCCCGCAGCCGCGGUAAUACGUAAGGACCGAGCGUUGUCCGGAAUCAUUGGGCGUAAAGGGUACGUAGGCGGUUAAAAAAGUUAGAAGUGAAAGGCUAUAGCUCAACUAUAGUAAGCUUUUAAAACUGUUUAACUUGAGAGAUGGAAGGGAAAGUGGAAUUCCUAGUGUAGCAGUGAAAUGCGCAGAUAUUAGGAGGAAUACCGGUGGCGAAGGCGACUUUCUGGCCAUUAUCUGACGCUGAGGUACGAAAGCGUGGGUAGCAAACAGG